GGAGGCGUGCCGGAGUGGCCGAACGGGCAUGUCUGGAGAACAUGUAUAUCCUAAAGGGUAUCGGAGGUUCGAAUCCUCCCGCCUCCG
This 87-nucleotide transfer RNA is filed under the name Minisyncoccales bacterium. Its description in RNAcentral is "tRNA-Ser". It matches the Rfam family "tRNA". From Rfam's summary of the family: Transfer RNA (tRNA) molecules are approximately 80 nucleotides in length. Their secondary structure includes four short double-helical elements and three loops (D, anti-codon, and T loops). The record is from RNAcentral. Lineage: Bacteria; Bacillati; Minisyncoccota; Minisyncoccia; Minisyncoccales.